CAAGGAUUCUUUGAAACGCGAGUCUGGAACCAAAGUACAUCAUGCAAACAUCCAGGCUUCGAAGGCUGUUGCAGACAUUAUCCGCACCACCUUGGGUCCAAGAUCCAUGCUGAAGAUGUUGCUUGAUGCUGCUGGAGGGAUUGUGGUUACAAAUGAUGGGAAUGCCAUCCUGCGUGAGCUAGAUCUUGCACACCCAGCAGCAAAGUC
This 207-nucleotide unclassified non-coding RNA is filed under the name Hevea brasiliensis (rubber tree). The record is from RNAcentral. Lineage: Eukaryota; Viridiplantae; Streptophyta; Magnoliopsida; Malpighiales; Euphorbiaceae.